GUGCAGCAGGCGCGAAAACUUCACACUGUGCGAAAGCACGAUGAGGGAAUCCCAAGUGCUUGCACGUAAGUGUAAGCUGUUUCUCUGUCUAAAACGCAGAGAGAGUAAGGGCUGGGUAAGACGGGUGCCAGCCGCCGCGGUAAUACCUGCAGCUCAAGUGGUGACCGUUAUUAUUGGGCCUAAAACGUCCGUAGCCGGUUUAAUAAAUGCCUGGGUAAAUUGUGUAGCUUAACUAUACGAAUUCCGGGUAGACUGUUAAACUUGAGACCGGGAGAAGUUAGAGGUACUCCUGGGGUAGAGGUGAAAAUUCUGUAAUCCUAGGGGGACCACCAGUGGCGAAGGCGUCUAACUAGAACGGGUCUGACGGUGAGGGACGAAGCCCUGGGGCGCAAAACGGGGAUUAGA
RNAcentral lists this ribosomal RNA (405 nucleotides) under uncultured microorganism. RNAcentral's name for it is "bacterial SSU rRNA". It matches the Rfam family "Archaeal small subunit ribosomal RNA", at positions 330 to 733 of the family's 1478-position model. The record is from RNAcentral.